GACGAACGCUGGCGGCGUGCUUAACACAUGCAAGUCGAGCGGUAAGGCCCUUUCGGGGGUACACGAGCGGCGAACGGGUGAGUAACACGUGGGUGACCUGCCCUCAGCUCUGGGAUAAGCCUGGGAAACCGGGUCUAAUACCGGAUAUGACUCCAUGACGCAUGUUGUGGGGUGGAAAGCCUUGUGCGGCUGAGGAUGGGCCCGCGGCCUAUCAGCUUGUUGGUGGGGUGAUGGCCUACCAAGGCGACGACGGGUAGCCGGCCUGAGAGGGCGACCGGCCACACUGGGACUGAGACACGGCCCAGACUCCUACGGAGGCAGCAGUGGGGAAUCUUGCGCAAUGGGCGAAAGCCUGACGCAGCGACGCCGCGUGA
This 374-nucleotide ribosomal RNA is filed under the name uncultured bacterium. Its description in RNAcentral is "bacterial SSU rRNA". It matches the Rfam family "Bacterial small subunit ribosomal RNA", at positions 28 to 404 of the family's 1533-position model. The record is from RNAcentral.